GGCGGGGGUGGUGAAGUGGUUAACACACCAGAUUGUGGCUCUGGCAUGCGUGGGUUCGAUCCCCAUCACUCGCCU
Molecule: transfer RNA, 75 nt
Filed under: Klebsiella pneumoniae
Lineage: Bacteria; Pseudomonadati; Pseudomonadota; Gammaproteobacteria; Enterobacterales; Enterobacteriaceae
Description: tRNA-His
Rfam family: tRNA
About the family: Transfer RNA (tRNA) molecules are approximately 80 nucleotides in length. Their secondary structure includes four short double-helical elements and three loops (D, anti-codon, and T loops). Further hydrogen bonds mediate the characteristic L-shaped molecular structure. tRNAs have two regions of fundamental functional importance: the anti-codon, which is responsible for specific mRNA codon recognition, and the 3' end, to which the tRNAs corresponding amino acid is attached (by aminoacyl-tRNA synthetases). tRNAs cope with the degeneracy of the genetic code in two manners: having more than one tRNA (with a specific anti-codon) for a particular amino acid; and 'wobble' base-pairing, i.e. permitting non-standard base-pairing at the 3rd anti-codon position.
Source: RNAcentral